Molecule: long non-coding RNA, 1689 nt
Organism: Anopheles gambiae (African malaria mosquito)
Lineage: Eukaryota; Metazoa; Arthropoda; Insecta; Diptera; Culicidae
Exons: 3
Source: RefSeq, a predicted model, not a curated record
UCAAUGCGGACCGGAGACAAUAGCGUAUCUCGAAUAUUAGCGAAAGUCGAAUUUCGAGGUUUUCAGUCAAAUUAUAGCUAAUUUUCGUAUAAUUUUGCAUGAAGUGGUAGGUUUUAGCCACUUAAUUAGUUAAUUGAUCUGAUAUCAACUGAAAAUUACAAUUUUAUACCUUUUGAAAUGGUUUUUAAUAUUCAACCAAAAGGGAAUUAAUUUUGCAUUUGACAUUGGAUGUCUCAAAUAAGUACAAUUUGCUCAGAGAACUGUCAAAUAUAGAAAAAAGCGUAUAGCGAAAUCGCGUAUUUCGAGUAUGGCGUAUACCGAGGAAUACCUGUAUAUUCACACGAGGAAGGCGCUGCCCAAGCUCCCGACCACGCUGGUUUUCGCUGGUCUUUAACGAAUUAUCCCCGAAAAGACCAGCGAAAUACAGAUCAUUUUCGGGGAUAGUGAACACACGUGAAGGAUGAACCCAUGCAAAAAAGAGCUAAAAAUAGAAAUGAACAUUCGGAUUCAUUACCUUCCCUCAUAUUCCAAUUCAUGCUCAUGCUUCAUCCUUGAUGCUACCAACCACAUCGCUAAUUCUACUUCGAAUCACUUUGCCAGUUGCGCCAUCAUAUUAUUAUUCAUGAUCGUGCUAUUUGCUUGUUUUGUUGUAUGAAGGGGUACUGAUACUAAAUGAAUUAAAAGAAAUAAAUAAAACAAUAAAAAUACAGGCGGUCCGCGAGAUACACGGGUAAUGGGGACCGAAAACGGCCGCAAAAUACCGCGUAUCUCGAAUUUCCGCGUAAGUCGAAUCUCGUGAUUUCCAGCUAAAAUAUCACAAAUUUUCGUGUAAUUUUGCAAGUAGGGGGCGGUUUUAGUUACUUUAUGAAUUAUUUGAUAUGAUUCUGACUGAAUAUAACUGUUUUAAACCUUUUGAAAUAGUUUUGAACAUUCGAUAAAAACGGAAAUUAUUUGGCAAUUUGCAAUUGAUGUGUCAAAUCAGUACAAUUUGCUCAAAGAAUUGUCAAAUUUAUAAAACCGCGUAUCUCCGAAUCCGCGUAUAAGAGAUACCGUGUAUCUCGGGGACCGCCUGUAAUAGAUUGACUAUUAAACACUCAUUUCUAACAAUUAGAAAAGGGGUCUGAAGUUACUGGAGCUGCAUGUUUUAAAAAGAAAUCAAAACUUUAAAUCAUCAAUGAAAACAAUAAAAAUGGAAUUGAACUCAUGUCGACCAUGGUGCAAACAUUACACCAUUACCAUUUGACCAUUACUAGUUCAUGAAUAUGAAUCGUUAUCUAUCAGUUUUAAACCCUUCAAAUAUAGCACAAUGAAUAAAGAGAUGUCUAAAAGUUCAUCGAUGCGUGUGAGAGAGUAGAGCUGAUGAAUAGAAAGAGAUGGCAUGAGUUUAUGUUCAUUAUCCCCGAAAAAUUUCGCUUGGGUGGUUCGCGUUCUCAUCAAAAAGUGGUAGUGUGAAAUCAAGUUUGCAAGCAGAAGGACGAGUCGAUGCGUGCUCGUUUUUUCUCUCGUGAAACCACUACGGAAAAACUAUUUGAAAUCGUAACACACGCACGAACGGAAGUGAGCACGGACCACGAUAGAAACAAUAUUCAAUUGGUUGCAGUGCCGAAAACAACAGAACAGGAGAGGAAAGAAGGCAGGCACGAUCCUCCAACGUGCUACCGCCUGGGAGAGGAGAAGCAGCAGGAAGGU